This 251-nucleotide long non-coding RNA is filed under the name Citrus sinensis (sweet orange). RNAcentral's name for it is "long non-coding RNA (CSIN_LNC005431)". The record is from RNAcentral. Lineage: Eukaryota; Viridiplantae; Streptophyta; Magnoliopsida; Sapindales; Rutaceae.
GACUGAGAAAGUACAUAAUGAUUCUAGGAUUAAUGAUUCGCUACUCACUAGACUAAAGACGCUGAUAAAAUAACUAAAACGUUUCUACUCCUGUUUGAGAUGAAAUAACACUUAAACGAAGCAAAAGCCAUAACCCACAUGUCAAAAGCAUUAACAAAAAGAGACAGCUUAUUUUCUAAAUACAAAACUGUAUCAAAAUCAGUUUGUUGUACAUGGAUGCUGUCAAAACAUUUGUCACAGCAAUUAACUAN